GGGGAUGACUGGUAUCGACAGAAAACGCUCUUUAAAAACGGCAAGCCUCCUUUGAACAACAGGAGUAAAACAGGUUCAAAAAAUAAAAGAUACUUCUUAUGAAGUUUCUCCUAGAGCUGACUUUGAAGUCAAAUACGCUUUUGCGUAAAUAGGCAUCUAAUUAGUUUUUUCCUGUCGAAGCUUUUUAGGUGUAAACAAAGACAAGAUGCAAAUGAAAAGUUUGCCGAACACUUUUCAUCCAAGUUUAAGUUUGACAACCUUUAAUUUUCCAGACUAACGGAUCAGAUUAAAGGUAAAAAAAGUUAGUCUAAGCUUGUAGAAGUUUUUAAAAGUCUUUUUUGGAUUCCGGUUCAAUUCCGGACAUCUCCACAC
This 372-nucleotide transfer-messenger RNA is filed under the name Candidatus Shapirobacteria bacterium CG09_land_8_20_14_0_10_39_12. It matches the Rfam family "transfer-messenger RNA". Rfam says of the family: Bacterial tmRNA, also known as 10Sa RNA or SsrA, is named for its dual tRNA and mRNA-like properties. Its role is to liberate the mRNA from a stalled ribosome. The record is from RNAcentral. Lineage: Bacteria; Candidatus Shapironibacteriota.